AAGAGCUUUAAACGAGAGAAUGCUACAGGUGAUCUUUCUCUUUUGGCUUCGGAGAACACAAACACAGUGAGUUCCCACAGGGAUUAGAGCACAAAGGGUGAACGAAGGCAGACUUGGUGAAUCGGGAGAGAGGUGGUAAGGGGUACUUCGAGGUCUGCGACACACUCUGCUUCCCUCGUUCCUCCCCGCUGUUUCGGCUUGUGUGGAGCUUCCUUCUUCGCAGAAGAGGAUGGGGAAAAUGAGAGGAGGAUGGGCGUCAAGGAUGGCGCUUCUGUGCUGUGUUUCUUUCUCUUUCCUUUCGGCCUUUGCUCUUCUCGAGGAAACAGGGAUAGGAAGCGCGAGAACGAAGUCUUUCGUGCAGGGUCCGUGGUCAGCACGUGAGGUAGGCA
Long non-coding RNA from Musa acuminata AAA Group (dessert banana), 389 nucleotides. RefSeq lists it as uncharacterized. Lineage: Eukaryota; Viridiplantae; Streptophyta; Magnoliopsida; Zingiberales; Musaceae. The record is from RefSeq and is a predicted model, not a curated record. The transcript is spliced from 3 exons.